This 725-nucleotide ribosomal RNA is filed under the name Pseudomonas koreensis. Its description in RNAcentral is "bacterial SSU rRNA". It matches the Rfam family "Bacterial small subunit ribosomal RNA", at positions 1 to 731 of the family's 1533-position model. Lineage: Bacteria; Pseudomonadati; Pseudomonadota; Gammaproteobacteria; Pseudomonadales; Pseudomonadaceae. The record is from RNAcentral.
UAGAGUUUGAUCCUGGCUCAGAUUGAACGCUGGCGGCAGGCCUAACACAUGCAAGUCGAGCGGAUGAAAGGAGCUUGCUCCUGGAUUCAGCGGCGGACGGGUGAGUAAUGCCUAGGAAUCUGCCUGGUAGUGGGGGACAACGUUUCGAAAGGAACGCUAAUACCGCAUACGUCCUACGGGAGAAAGCAGGGGACCUUCGGGCCUUGCGCUAUCAGAUGAGCCUAGGUCGGAUUAGCUAGUUGGUGAGGUAAUGGCUCACCAAGGCGACGAUCCGUAACUGGUCUGAGAGGAUGAUCAGUCACACUGGAACUGAGACACGGUCCAGACUCCUACGGGAGGCAGCAGUGGGGAAUAUUGGACAAUGGGCGAAAGCCUGAUCCAGCCAUGCCGCGUGUGUGAAGAAGGUCUUCGGAUUGUAAAGCACUUUAAGUUGGGAGGAAGGGUUGUAGAUUAAUACUCUGCAAUUUUGACGUUACCGACAGAAUAAGCACCGGCUAACUCUGUGCCAGCAGCCGCGGUAAUACAGAGGGUGCAAGCGUUAAUCGGAAUUACUGGGCGUAAAGCGCGCGUAGGUGGUUUGUUAAGUUGGAUGUGAAACGGGCUCAACCUGGGAACUGCAUCCAAAACUGGCAAGCUAGAGUAUGGUAGAGGGUGGUGGAAUUUCCUGUGUAGCGGUGAAAUGCGUAGAUAUAGGAAGGAACACCAGUGGCGAAGGCGACCACCGA